Molecule: long non-coding RNA, 489 nt
Filed under: Setaria viridis
Lineage: Eukaryota; Viridiplantae; Streptophyta; Magnoliopsida; Poales; Poaceae
Description: long non-coding RNA (SVIR_LNC005750)
Source: RNAcentral
GCUGCCGAAGGCCGCCGCCGGCCACAACGCCCCACUGCCGGUUCGCCCCGCCGCCGAAGAUCCCCGCUGAAGGUAUGGUUUGUGCAAGUGUGACCUUUUAGAUCUUUCUUGUUCUACACUAAUUUCUUAUUCUACACUAAUGACACUGCCAGUUGAAACUCUGGUGGAAACAAACCACUUCCUCCGGCUAAAACAAAGAAAAUUUAAAUAAUGGUGCAAAAUCUUAGAUUUCUGGCGAAAGCGCAUACUUUUUUAUUCAAUUGUGACCAACCAAAAGUGGUGAACAGAUUGCUCGUUACCCUAAACUCGAAAGCCAUAGCACGGUACUCGAAAGUCGUAGCAACAACCACGGGCCUCUGGUGUUCCUGAUCUAUUUUUUUGAAGUAAAAUCAGAGGAUUAGGUGUGAUUGUACAUGUACAUGUAAAAGCUGGUUUGCAUGCGGAUGAUCUAUUUUGUAAGUGACCUGUUUUGAGGUGAACCAAUGCCUA